GACGAACGCUGGCGGCGUGCUUAACACAUGCAAGUCGAACGGAAAGGCCCUGCUUUUGUGGGGUGCUCGAGUGGCGAACGGGUGAGUAACACGUGAGUAACCUGCCCUUGACUUUGGGAUAACUUCAGGAAACUGGGGCUAAUACCGGAUAGGAGCUCCUGCUGCAUGGUGGGGGUUGGAAAGUUUCGGCGGUUGGGGAUGGACUCGCGGCUUAUCAGCUUGUUGGUGGGGUAGUGGCUUACCAAGGCUGUGACGGGUAGCCGGCCUGAGAGGGUGACCGGCCACAUUGGGACUGAGAUACGGCCCAGACGCCUACGGGGGGCAGCAGUGGGGAAUAUUGCACAAUGGGCGGAAGCCUGAUGCAGCAACGCCGCGUGCGGGAUGAAGGCCUUCGGGUUGUAAACCGCUUUCGCCUGUGACGAAGCGUGAGUGACGGUAAUGGGUAAAGAAGCACCGGCUAACUACGUG
This 468-nucleotide ribosomal RNA is filed under the name uncultured bacterium. RNAcentral's name for it is "partial 16S ribosomal RNA". It matches the Rfam family "Bacterial small subunit ribosomal RNA", at positions 28 to 507 of the family's 1533-position model. The record is from RNAcentral.